Long non-coding RNA from Paramormyrops kingsleyae, 642 nucleotides. RefSeq lists it as uncharacterized. Lineage: Eukaryota; Metazoa; Chordata; Actinopteri; Osteoglossiformes; Mormyridae. The record is from RefSeq and is a predicted model, not a curated record.
AGACAGCGGGAGAGUGAAUCAGGGCCCCCCAAGGGCCACUUCUCUCCAAGUCUUCCAGCUGACACCUGAGCAAGGAAACCAAAAGGAUGGAAUGAGUUGUUUUGCAUGCAAGAUUAGCAACGCAAGGAGCCAGCCUGUUCGCCAGAUGGUGUGUGAACCAUUACCUUGCUUACAGAGUGUGGCCGUCCGAUUACACCCGGCAUGGCAGCCCCCGGCCGGAGAUGGAUCAUCUGUUCCCUGGGAUACGGCUGUUUCCAUGGCAGAACCGCGACUGCUUUGCAGGGAGCAGCGGUGGACCAAUCAGGAUCCACUACACACCAACUCUGUGCAAGCCGGACCACUCAGGAUUCACUACACACCAACUCUGUGCAAGCCGGACCACUCAGGAUGCACUACACACCAAAGUUGUGCAAGCUUCCCAAAGACACACUUAUCAAGGUACCCUGAAGAGCAUAGAAGGGACAACGAAAGAAUCGGUGAGCGAGAGAAAUAUUGAAAGAUGGGAUGCAGCUGCAACAAUAAAGCAAAUUAUGGUUAUUAUAAUUAUAACAAAUUAUAAUAAAAACCUAAGAAAUUACAGCUGACUUGCUUAUUUAAUCACAAAAAAAGGGAAACGAAAUUAUUUCAUUGCUGUUAAGUGAA